GCACAACGCGAAGAACCUUACCAGCUCUUGACAUGUCUCGUAUGGGUACCGGAGACGGUAUCCCUCAGUUCGGCUGGCGAGAACACAGGUGCUGCAUGGCUGUCGUCAGCUCGUGUCGUGAGAUGUUGGGUUAAGUCCCGCAACGAGCGCAACCCUCGCCUCUAGUUGCCAUCAUUCAGUUGGGCACUCUAGAGGGACUGCCGGUGAUAAGCCGAGAGGAAGGUGGGAUGGACGUCAAGUCCUCAUGGCCCUUACGGGCUGGGCUACACACGUGCUACAAUGGCGGUGACAAUGGGCAGCGAAGGGGCGACCCGGAGCUAAUCUCAAAAGCCGUCUCAGUUCGGAUUGUACUCUGCAACUCGAAUGCAUGAAGUUGGAAUCGCUAGUAAUCGUGGAUCAGCAUGCCACGGUGAAUAC
Molecule: ribosomal RNA, 417 nt
Filed under: uncultured bacterium
Lineage: Bacteria
Description: bacterial SSU rRNA
Rfam family: Bacterial small subunit ribosomal RNA
Source: RNAcentral